This 476-nucleotide ribosomal RNA is filed under the name uncultured bacterium. RNAcentral's name for it is "partial 16S ribosomal RNA". It matches the Rfam family "Bacterial small subunit ribosomal RNA", at positions 28 to 507 of the family's 1533-position model. The record is from RNAcentral.
GAUGAACGCUAGCGGCAGGCCUAACACAUGCAAGUCGAGGGAGAAGCCUUUCGGGGCAGAAACCGGCGCACGGGUGCGUAACGCGUAUGCAACCUACCUUUUACAGGGGGAUAGCCCGAAGAAAUUUGGAUUAAUACCCCAUAAUAUUGUUGGAUGGCAUCAUCUGAUAAUUAAAACUGCGGUGGUGAAAGAUGGGCAUGCGUCCUAUUAGCUAGUUGGAGUGGUAACGGCACCCCAAGGCUACGAUAGGUAGGGGUCCUGAGAGGGAGAUCCCCCACACUGGUACUGAGACAGGGACCAGACUCCUACGGGAGGCAGCAGUGAGGAAUAUUGGUCAAUGGUCGGAAGACUGAACCAGCCAUGCCGCGUGCAGGAAGAAUGCCUUAUGGGUUGUAAACUGCUUUUAUAUGGGAAGAAUAAGGUGUACGUGUACAUUGAUGACGGUACCAUAUGAAUAAGCAUCGGCUAACUCCGUG